UAAGGAAUAUUGGUCAAUGGACGCAAGUCUGAACCAGCCAUGCCGCGUGAAGGAUGAAGGUCCUCUGGAUUGUAAACUUCUUUUAUCUGGGACGAAAACGGGAUUUUUAUCUCAAUUGACGGUACCAGAGGAAUAAGCACCGGCUAACUCCGUGCCAGCAGCCGCGGUAAUACGGAGGGUGCGAGCGUUAUCCGGAUUUACUGGGUUUAAAGGGUGCGUAGGUGGGCUUAUAAGUCAGUGGUGAAAUCUCCGAGCUUAACUUGGAAACUGCCGUUGNUACUAUAGGUCUUGAAUUAUCUGGAGGUAAUCGGAAUAUGUCAUGUAGCGGUGAAAUGCUUAGAUAUGACAUAGAACACCAAUUGCGAAGGCAGCUUACUACAUAUAAAUUGACGCUGAGGCACGAAAGCGUGGGGAUCAAACA
This 421-nucleotide ribosomal RNA is filed under the name uncultured bacterium. RNAcentral's name for it is "bacterial SSU rRNA". It matches the Rfam family "Bacterial small subunit ribosomal RNA", at positions 355 to 774 of the family's 1533-position model. The record is from RNAcentral.